GAUGAACGCUGGCGGCGUGCCUAAUACAUGCAAGUCGAGCGAACGGACGAGAAGCUUGCUUCUCUGAUGUUAGCGGCGGACGGGUGAGUAACACGUGGAUAACCUACCUAUAAGACUGGGAUAACUUCGGGAAACCGGAGCUAAUACCGGAUGAUAUUUUGAACCGCAUGGUUCAAAAGUGAAAGACGGUCUUGCUGUCACUUAUAGAUGGAUCCGCGCUGCAUUAGCUAGUUGGUAAGGUAAUGGCUUACCAAGGCAACGAUGCAUAGCCGACCUGAGAGAGUGAUCGGCCACACUGGAACUGAGACACGGUCCAGACUCCUACGGGAGGCAGCAGUAGGGAAUCUUCCGCAAUGGGCGAAAGCCUGACGGAGCAACGCCGCGUGAGUGAUGAAGGUCUUCGGAUCGUAAAACUCUGUUAUUAGGGAAGAACAUAUGUGUAAGUAACUGUGCACAGCUUGACGGUACCUAAUCAGAAAGCCACGGCUAACUACGUG
Molecule: ribosomal RNA, 497 nt
Filed under: uncultured bacterium
Lineage: Bacteria
Description: partial 16S ribosomal RNA
Rfam family: Bacterial small subunit ribosomal RNA
Source: RNAcentral